RNAcentral lists this ribosomal RNA (790 nucleotides) under uncultured bacterium. RNAcentral's name for it is "bacterial SSU rRNA". It matches the Rfam family "Bacterial small subunit ribosomal RNA", at positions 8 to 807 of the family's 1533-position model. The record is from RNAcentral.
AGAGUUUGAUCCUGGCUCAGGACGAACGCUGGCGGCGUGCUUAACACAUGCAAGUCGAACGAGAUCCAUGAUGUAGCAAUACAUCGGAAGAUCUAGUGGCGAACGGGUGAGGAUCACGUGAGAAACCUGCCCCAGACUCUGGGAUAACAAUUGGAAACGAUUGCUAAUACCGGAUGACGUCGGAGAACCGCAUGGUUCACUGACGAAAGAUAUUUCGGUUUGGGAGGGUCUCGCGGCCUAUCAGCUUGUUGGUGGGGUAAUGGCCUACCAAGGCAACGACGGGUAGCUGGUCUGAGAGGAUGAUCAGCCACACUGGGACUGAGACACGGCCCAGACUCCUACGGGAGGCAGCAGUGGGGAAUCUUGCGCAAUGGGCGAAAGCCUGACGCAGCAACGCCGCGUGCGGGAUGAAGGCUUUCGGGCUGUAAACCGCUUUCAGCAGGAACGAAAAUGACGGUACCUGCAGAAGAAGGAGCGGCCAACUACGUGCCAGCAGCCGCGGUGACACGUAGGCUCCAAGCGUUGUCCGGAUUUAUUGGGCGUAAAGAGCUCGUAGGCGGUUUAGUAAGUCGGGUGUGAAAACUCUGGGCUUAACCCGGAGACGCCAUCCGAUACUGCUAUGACUUGAGUUCAGGAGGGGAGCGGGGAAUUCCUAGUGUAGCGGUGAAAUGCGCAGAUAUUAGGAGGAACACCGGUGGCGAAGGCGCCGCUCUGGACUGNNNCUGACGCUGAGGAGCGAAAGCAUGGGUAGCAAACAGGANNAGAUACCCNNNNAGUCCAUGCCGUNNNC